AGUGAACGCUGGCGGUAGGCCUAACACAUGCAAGUCGAACGGCAGCACAGUAAGAGCUUGCUCUUACGGGUGGCGAGUGGCGGACGGGUGAGGAAUACAUCGGAAUCUACUUUUUCGUGGGGGAUAACGUAGGGAAACUUACGCUAAUACCGCAUACGACCUACGGGUGAAAGCAGGGGAUCUUCGGACCUUGCGCGAUUGAAUGAGCCGAUUUCGGAUAGCUAGUUGGCGGGGUAAAGGCCCACCAAGGCGACGAUCCGUAGCUGGUCUGAGAGGAUGAUCAGCCACACUGGAACUGAGACACGGUCCAGACUCCUACGGGAGGCAGCAGUGGGGAAUAUUGGACAAUGGGCGCAAGCCUGAUCCAGCCAUACCGCGUGGGUGAAGAAGGCCUUCGGGUUGUAAAGCCCUUUUGUUGGGAAAGAAAAGCAGCAGGUUAAUACCCCGCUGUUCUGACGGUACCCAAAGAAUAAGCACCGGCUAACUUCGUG
This 491-nucleotide ribosomal RNA is filed under the name uncultured bacterium. RNAcentral describes it as "partial 16S ribosomal RNA". It matches the Rfam family "Bacterial small subunit ribosomal RNA", at positions 29 to 507 of the family's 1533-position model. The record is from RNAcentral.